This 481-nucleotide ribosomal RNA is filed under the name uncultured bacterium. RNAcentral's name for it is "bacterial SSU rRNA". It matches the Rfam family "Bacterial small subunit ribosomal RNA", at positions 31 to 507 of the family's 1533-position model. The record is from RNAcentral.
GAACGCUGGCGGAAUGCUUUACACAUGCAAGUCGAACGGCAGCACGGACUUCGGUCUGGUGGCGAGUGGCGAACGGGUGAGUAAUAUAUCGGAACGUGCCCAGUCGUGGGGGAUAACGUAGUGAAAAUUACGCUAAUACCGCAUACGCCCUGAGGGGGAAAGCGGGGGAUCGAAAGACCUCGCGCGAUUGGAGCGGCCGAUAUCAGAUUAGGUAGUUGGUGGGGUAAAGGCUCACCAAGCCAACGAUCUGUAGCUGGUCUGAGAGGACGACCAGCCACACUGGAACUGAGACACGGUCCAGACUCCUACGGGAGGCAGCAGUGGGGAAUAUUGCACAAUGGGGGAAACCCUGAUGCAGCCAUGCCGCGUGUGUGAAGAAGGCCUUCGGGUUGUAAAGCACUUUCAGCGAGGAGGAAAGGUCAGUAGCUAAUAUCUGCUGGCUGUGACGUUACUCGCAGAAGAAGCACCGACUAACUCCGUG